Monomorium pharaonis (pharaoh ant) is the source of this 827-nucleotide long non-coding RNA. RefSeq lists it as uncharacterized. The transcript has 2 exons. NCBI's taxonomy places the organism in Eukaryota, Metazoa, Arthropoda, Insecta, Hymenoptera, Formicidae. The record is from RefSeq and is a predicted model, not a curated record.
GAGCGUCAGCGUGAAAAGGCACCUUAAUGCGUAGUGUUUUCCCGCUCAAGCGGCUGAAGUAAAGUUUCUCUCGUUACUGAAGAUUGAGAUAUCUAUCAAGAUGAGUCUGUAACAGCCUAACAUUUACAGACUUAUAUCGUUUCUAGGUCAGUGAUACUUUGUCUCGGGAGGGACAGCAAUUCAUUUGGGCCAAGAAGAAGAAGAUUAAGAUAUCGAGCCUCGCUACGUUUCGGCGACGUCGCAGCUAAUCUGUUCUCGGAAGCCGCGGUUGUCACGGUGACCCAUUGCUUUCAAUCCUCUGUGUUUUUCCGAGUCGCGUCGACGUGAUUGACAGAGUGAUCGAUUUACGAUUGCGAUUCUCGGAAGUCGCGUUCGGCUGGUUCGGCAUACCUACCUACUGUUUGAUUUUGAGUGUCGACGCUUGUCCGGUGUUUUUUUCCUUCGCCACAAAAGCACGACUCUCGAGCGUCGCCCGGCGCGUGUCGAGGCGUCAGGACUUUUUUCUCUUCCUCGAGAUGCCAAUAGCCAAUUCUCAAAGUGAUCAAUCAGGCAGGAGAAAAUUGGAAUGUGAUAGCAACAGAGCAAAGGAAUCUUCGUAGUUGACUCUGGGUCGAGAACAAAAAAAAAUGGAGUGGGUGCUGCGACCGGUAAGUAAAUUUAUUUGAUACUUGCGUAAUUAAUUGAUUGAUUACCACGAUUGAUCACGGCUUUGAUAAACGCCGUAAUUAUAAAAAAACUGUUUCUUAUAAAUUGUUUCUUAUUGCUGCCAUUUACAUAUAUCGUUUAUCAACUAAAUUUGAUUUAAAUUUAAUAAAUAAAAUAUGAAA